UACAGAGGUCUCAAGCGUUGUUCGGAUUCAUUGGGCGUAAAGGGUUCGUAGGUGGCGCUGUAAGUCGGGUGUGAAAUUUCGGAGCUUAACUCCGAAACUGCAUUCGAUACUGCGGGGCUUGAGGACUGGAGAGGAGACUGGAAUUCAUGGUGUAGCAGUGAAAUGCGUAGAUAUCAUGAGGAAGACCAGUGGCGAAGGCGGGUCUCUGGACAGUGCCUGACACUGAUGCACGAAGGCCAGGGGAGCAAACGGG
This 253-nucleotide ribosomal RNA is filed under the name uncultured bacterium. RNAcentral's name for it is "partial 16S ribosomal RNA". It matches the Rfam family "Bacterial small subunit ribosomal RNA", at positions 524 to 776 of the family's 1533-position model. The record is from RNAcentral.